Molecule: long non-coding RNA, 2398 nt
Filed under: Equus caballus (horse)
Lineage: Eukaryota; Metazoa; Chordata; Mammalia; Perissodactyla; Equidae
Description: lncRNA (ENSECAG00000049790.1)
Source: RNAcentral
UUUGUGUCUGAAGUUUCCUUUGUUUCAUGAUUAUCCUUGAAGGAUGCUUUAGCUGAGUACAGAAUUCUGGAUUAAUUUUUAUAUUUCUUUUACCACGUUGAAGAUAUUAUUCCAUGGGUUUUGGGCUACUCUUCUUGUUGUGAGUAGUCUUCUGUUUGUCUAAUUGUUGUUUCUUUGUGGAUAAUUUAUAUUUCUUCUCUUUGAGUUCUUAAAUUCUUCAUGUCUUUGUUACUAAAUGUAGCUAUAUGUGGAUUUACUUUUAUUUAUAGUUUUCAGGACCUAUUGUGCUUCUGGAAUCUGAGGAAUUAUGUCCUUCAUCAGUCCUGGGAAUUCUCAGCCAUUAUCAUUUUAAAUAUUGCCUCUCCUCCACACCCUUCUAUUUUAUGUUCCUUUUCUCCAUGUCCCAACUUCUCAUUCAUAUUUUCUCUCUCUUUUUUGGUAACAUCCUCAGAUUUAGCUUCUAGUUAAUUUGUUCUUUCUCCUCAUUUGUGUCUAAUCUGUUUAACCAUUUACUUUAAAUUUCAAUGAUUAAGUCUUCCAUUUCUAAAAUUUCUCCUUGGUAGCUCCCCCAUAGCUUCCUGUUGUUUCUUCAUAAGAUCUUUUUCUUAAUUUUAGGGGUUUUUUUUUAAAAGAUUUUAUUUUUUUUCCUUUUUCUCCCCAAAGCCCCCCAGUACAUAGUUGUAUAUUCUUCGUUGUGGGUCCUUCUCGUUGUGGCAUGUGGGACGCUGCCUCAGCAUGGUUUGAUGAGCAGUGCCAUGUCCGCACCCAGGAUGCGAACCAACGAAAUACUGGGCCACCUGCAGCAGAGCGUGUGAACUUAACCACUCAGCCACGGGGCCAGCCCCUUAAUUUUAGGGUUUUGAUCUCUUUUUUCAUGUGUAGUUAUUUUAAACACACUUAUUUUAUAUUCUCUUCUAGAUUAUCAGUCUAAUACUUCAGGAUUUUAGGGCUUUACUCCUCUUGUUUUGUUUCUCCUGACUGAGCUCAUGGCUGAUUUCUUUUUUGUGUUUUACACUCUUUUAUGAUAAACUUAUUUUUGCCUGGAUUGGCUUUAUUCCGUAAGAAACUCAUGUGACCUUAGAUGAAGGAGCAUCCCUCCAGAGUGGUUUUACCUUUGCUCCUGUAAGUGCCCAGGUUUUCCAUUGAGCCAGGAUCAAUUUUUAUGUUAGUUUCUUAACUUAGGGAUUCCUGGCUACAAGAGUGUAAUGUCAAAGCCAAAACCAAUGUGAGAAGCAGGCCUGGGUUUCAAUUUUUCAGUGAAAAUUUUUUCCCUAUCCAGAGUAUGGGCAAAGAAAUAUAUAUUUUCUUGUCACCUGCCUGUGCUGGUGAGCAGAUUUUUUUUUCCUACUACCCUUUCACUGACGGUGCCACCCUUUGAGAGUUCCAGCCUCUCAUAGAGGUUUCUGGUCCCCUACCCUGUCUAGAACCAUGUCCUUUACUCUUACAUAUGCCUUAAAAUCCAAGUCCCUAGUUUAUGGCAACUUCCUCCCUCCUGACGCCCAGAAGUUGCAAUGGUUGCUGGAGUCUUUUUCCCUCAGAUUUCAGCACCUGCUUCCUUUUUGCUACUUGCAGAUUUCUCUUCCUUUCUUGCAAGCUCAGCUAUAUAUCUAAAGACUUUUUCUUGUAUUUUAUCCAGCAUUUCUAAGUAUUUGUAAUGGGAGAUGUUUCUAGAACCACUGCCUAUUAACUUUUUGAAAGAUGUCUUAUCAGCACAAAAAGUGAGUAUGUGGGAAUGCUGGGGACCAGAGGGAUGGGCAAGAGUUCAGGAAAAAAAAUGUGGGAUGUACUGUGAAUUGGAAUCUUCAUUGUAAUUCAGCAUUCUUCCAACAGGGGAAUACAUACAAAAGGGGAUGUGGGCAUAUAAUUUUAGGGGAAUUAACUCAAGAUUUUCCAUUUUCAUGUGAAUUGUGUCUUAAAAUUGAUGAGCCAGUGGUAAAGGUGUAUGCAGACUCUCCUUUCUCACUUUCCCUUUCAAAAUAGUCCUCCCACUUUACAAAAGGAAGACAUACCUGUCACCCAUUUACCUCACUGUGCAAAAUCCUCCAAAAGGACUAUAGGAAAUAUUGACUUCUGGGAAGCAUCUUUUAAUUACUAAUCAAGUUACCAAAAGCAUGCUUUAAGGUUUUGUAUCUUACACUUCUGUUAAGGGUGAAGCUAGGGACUAGAAAUGGAAUAUUUUGUUCAUGUUGGGAUGUACCUAAUUCAGUGUGAGUCUAGGGGAGUAACGACAAUUUUUAUUUAAUGACUUUACCUCUUCCAUUCCCCAAAUAUUGUCAAAGGAUGCCUCACUUUUUAGGAGGAGUCCGACGAGGGAAAAGCAAAGAAAGCACGGGUGAAAAAUACUGAAAGCUAUAAGCAGCUUUUAGAAUAUAAGCAGUUCUUUUAGGCUACUCUUAAA